ACAAGAUCAUCCCUCAUGCUGUUUCUUGGUUUACUGGUGAGGCUGUGCAAGCUGAGGAUUUUGAUGAUAUGGAAGAUGGUGACGAGGAUGACGACGAUGAGGAUGAUGAUGAUGAAGAAGAUGACGAGGAGGAUGAGGACGAGGACGAAGACGAUGAUGAAGACGAGGAAGAGCUAAGCAAGCCAACGAAGAAGGUAAUCUUAUCUUGCAGCCAUAGAAGUACCUAUCUCUGCUCUCUGCAACAUCACUCUGUUCAACUGGCCUUG
RNAcentral lists this long non-coding RNA (266 nucleotides) under Triticum aestivum (bread wheat). RNAcentral's name for it is "long non-coding RNA (TAES_LNC017492)". The record is from RNAcentral. Lineage: Eukaryota; Viridiplantae; Streptophyta; Magnoliopsida; Poales; Poaceae.